Molecule: ribosomal RNA, 253 nt
Filed under: uncultured bacterium
Lineage: Bacteria
Description: partial 16S ribosomal RNA
Rfam family: Bacterial small subunit ribosomal RNA
Source: RNAcentral
UACGUAGGGAGCGAGCGUUGUCCGGAAUUACUGGGUGUAAAGGGAGCGUAGGCGGGACGGCAAGUCAGAAGUGAAAUAUACGUGCUCAACAUGUAGACUGCUUUUGAAACUGUCGUUCUUGAGUGAGGUAGAGGUAAGCGGAAUUCCUGGUGUAGCGGUGAAAUGCGUAGAGAUCAGGAGGAACAUCGGUGGCGAAGGCGGCUUACUGGGCCUUUACUGACGCUGAGGCUCGAAAGCGUGGGGAGCAAACAGG